This 505-nucleotide ribosomal RNA is filed under the name uncultured bacterium. RNAcentral describes it as "partial 16S ribosomal RNA". It matches the Rfam family "Bacterial small subunit ribosomal RNA", at positions 28 to 507 of the family's 1533-position model. The record is from RNAcentral.
GACGAACGCUGGCGGCGUGCCUAAUACAUGCAAGUAGAACGCACAGUUUAUACCGUGGCUUGCUACACCAUAGACUGUGAGUUGCGAACGGGUGAGUAACGCGUAGGUAACCUGCCUGGUAGCGGGGGAUAACUAUUGGAAACGAUAGCUAAUACCGCAUAAUAUUAAUUAUUGCAUGAUAAUUAAUUGAAAGGUGCAAUUGCACCACUACCAGAUGGACCUGCGUUGUAUUAGCUAGUAGGUGAGGUAACGGCUCACCUAGGCGACGAUACAUAGCCGACCUGAGAGGGUGAUCGGCCACACUGGGACUGAGACACGGCCCAGACUCCUACGGGAGGCAGCAGUAGGGAAUCUUCGGCAAUGGACGAAAGUCUGACCGAGCAACGCCGCGUGAGUGAAGAAGGUUUUCGGAUCGUAAAGCUCUGUUGUAAGAGAAGAACGGGUGUGAGAGUGGAAAGUUCACACUGUGACGGUAUCUUACCAGAAAGGGACGGCUAACUACGUG